Long non-coding RNA from Eupeodes corollae, 552 nucleotides. RefSeq lists it as uncharacterized. The transcript has 2 exons. Lineage: Eukaryota; Metazoa; Arthropoda; Insecta; Diptera; Syrphidae. The record is from RefSeq and is a predicted model, not a curated record.
GUCGCCCUGUCCUGUUUUAAAUGCUGAACACGUUUCAGAAACUACCUUAUAUGACUGCUUGAAUGGUUUCUUUUUUCACUUAUUAUCAUUAUUGCACUGCCUUACCUUUUCAAUAUGUCAAUGCUAUUUGCUGUCAUUGUUUUCACCAUAGAGGAAAUAUAAGAGAUGAAAAUAUAUUUCGUCUAUAGCUUUCACAUCGACGUAUGUAUAUUUUAAAUCAGCUUCAAUAAUGAAAUCCGGAUGGAAUAAGUCCUGUUUUUUUCGGCAAGUAUGCAAGGAUGUGGAACGUGCAGUAUUUUGGCACAAGCGCAAACCGAGCGCAGUAUCCGCAAAAAAUCCAUAUCACCUGCCAGAGGAGAACCACGAAGUUCAAGGAACUAUACAAACUAUACAAACAAUCAAUAAUUGUUACACCUGCAAUAUUACUUAAUUUAUUGUUUAUUCCUUAAAAUGGACUUGAAUUACUUCAUUAUAAAGGUUUUUGUUCUAAAAAAUAUCAAAUUAUAUUAAAUAUCGAAACAAUUUAAAAAAAAUUACUUUUAAAAUCCCAAA